GACGGAGGAUGCAAGCGUUAUCCGGAAUGAUUGGGCGUAAAGCGUCCGCAGGUGGCAGUUCACGUCUGCUGUCAAAGACCGGGGCUUAACUUCGGAAAGGCAGUGGAAACUGAACAGCUAGAGUAUGGUAGGGGCAGAGGGAAUUCCUGGUGUAGCGGUGAAAUGCGUAGAUAUCAGGAAGAACAUCGGUGGCGAAGGCGCUCUGCUGGACCAUAACUGACACUCAGGGACGAAAGCUAGGGGAGCGAAUGGG
This 253-nucleotide ribosomal RNA is filed under the name uncultured bacterium. RNAcentral's name for it is "partial 16S ribosomal RNA". It matches the Rfam family "Bacterial small subunit ribosomal RNA", at positions 524 to 776 of the family's 1533-position model. The record is from RNAcentral.